GGGUUUAACUAUCAACUCUAUAAUAGUCAUCCAUAUUGUAUUUUAAUUUUUUAAAUCCAUCACAUGGAUUAUCCAGAUCUAGAUUUUACUAAAUUAAAAUACAUUGAUGCAUUAACUCCUACUAAUUCAGAGGGGUCAAUCUCAUCUUGACUUAUGCACCGACUUGACAAGUACUUGACUACACUCAAAAAUCUUUUAUCACUGAAUUAGAAAUUCAGAUAGUCUGGUACUAAAGUACAGUGAG
This 244-nucleotide long non-coding RNA is filed under the name Elaeis guineensis (African oil palm). Its description in RNAcentral is "long non-coding RNA (EGUI_LNC075128)". Lineage: Eukaryota; Viridiplantae; Streptophyta; Magnoliopsida; Arecales; Arecaceae. The record is from RNAcentral.